AUUGAACGCUGGCGGCAGACUUAACACAUGCAAGUCGAGCGAGGGAAGGUAGCUUGCUACCGGACCUAGCGGCGGACGGGUGAGUAAUGCUUAGGAAUCUGCCUAUUAGUGGGGGACAACAUCUCGAGAGGGAUGCUAAUACCGCAUACGUCCUACGGGAGAAAGCAGGGGAUCUUCGGACCUUGCGCUAAUAGAUGAGCCUAAGUCGGAUUAGCUAGUUGGUGGGGUAAAGGCCUACCAAGGCGACGAUCUGUAGCGGGUCUGAGAGGAUGAUCCGCCACACUGGGACUGAGACACGGCCCAGACUCCUACGGGAGGCAGCAGUGGGGAAUAUUGGACAAUGGGGGGAACCCUGAUCCAGCCAUGCCGCGUGUGUGAAGAAGGCCUUAUGGUUGUAAAGCACUUUAAGCGAGGAGGAGGCUACUCUAGUUAAUACCUAGGGAUAGUGGACGUUACUCGCAGAAUAAGCACCGGCUAACUCUGUGCCAGCCGCCGCGGUAA
This 501-nucleotide ribosomal RNA is filed under the name uncultured bacterium. RNAcentral's name for it is "partial 16S ribosomal RNA". It matches the Rfam family "Bacterial small subunit ribosomal RNA", at positions 30 to 523 of the family's 1533-position model. The record is from RNAcentral.